GCUGUGGCUCAGUGGUAGAGCACUUGCUUGGCAUGCAGAAGUUCGCAGGUUCAACCCCCAGCAUCUCCA
RNAcentral lists this transfer RNA (69 nucleotides) under Sphaerodactylus townsendi. RNAcentral's name for it is "tRNA-Ala". It matches the Rfam family "tRNA". Rfam says of the family: Transfer RNA (tRNA) molecules are approximately 80 nucleotides in length. Lineage: Eukaryota; Metazoa; Chordata; Lepidosauria; Squamata; Sphaerodactylidae. The record is from RNAcentral.